AGUGAACGCUGGCGGUAGGCCUAACACAUGCAAGUCGAACGGCAGCACAGUAAGAGCUCGCUCUUACGGGUGGCGAGUGGCGGACGGGUGAGGAAUACAUCGGAAUCUACUUUUUCGUGGGGGAUAACGUAGGGAAACUUACGCUAAUACCGCAUACGACCUACGGGUGAAAGCAGGGGAUCUUCGGACCUUGCGCGAUUGAAUGAGCCGAUGUCGGAUUAGCUAGUUGGCGGUGUAAAGGCCCACCAAGCCGACGGUCCGUAGCUGGUCUGAGAGGAUGAUCAGCGACAUUGGAACUGAGACACGGUCCAGACUCCUACUGGAGGCAGCAGUGGGCAAUAUUGGACAAUGGUCGCAAGCCUGAUCCAGACAUACCGCGUGGGUUAAGAACGCUUUCGUGUUGUAAAGCCCUUUUGUUGGGAAAGAAAAGCAGCAGGUUAAUACCCCGCUGUUCUGACGGUACCCAAAGAAUAAGCACCGGCUAACUUCGUG
RNAcentral lists this ribosomal RNA (492 nucleotides) under uncultured bacterium. RNAcentral's name for it is "partial 16S ribosomal RNA". It matches the Rfam family "Bacterial small subunit ribosomal RNA", at positions 29 to 507 of the family's 1533-position model. The record is from RNAcentral.